UGAACGCUGGCGGCGUGCUUAACACAUGCAAGUCGAACGAAGCACUUAUCUUUGAUUCUUCGGAUGAAGAGGUUUGUGACUGAGUGGCGGACGGGUGAGUAACGCGUGGGUAACCUGCCUCAUACAGGGGGAUAACAGUUAGAAAUGACUGCUAAUACCGCAUAAGACCACGGAGCCGCAUGGCUCCGCGGGAAAAACUCCGGUGGUAUGAGAUGGACCCGCGUCUGAUUAGGUAGUUGGUGGGGUAACGGCCUACCAAGCCGACGAUCAGUAGCCGACCUGAGAGGGUGACCGGCCACAUUGGGACUGAGACACGGCCCAAACUCCUACGGGAGGCAGCAGUGGGGAAUAUUGCACAAUGGGGGAAACCCUGAUGCAGCGACGCCGCGUGAGCGAAGAAGUAUUUCGGUAUGUAAAGCCCUAUCAGCAGGGAAGAAAAUGACGGUACCUGACUAAGAAGCACCGGCUAAAUACGUGCCAGCAGCCGCGGUAAUACGUAUGGUGCAAGCGUUAUCCGGAUUUACUGGGUGUAAAGGGAGCGUAGACGGCUGUGUAAGUCUGAAGUGAAAGCCCGGGGCUCAACCCCGGGACUGCUUUGGAAACUAUGCAGCUAGAGUGUCGGAGAGGUAAGUGGAAUUCCCAGUGUAGCGGUGAAAUGCGUAGAUAUUGGGAGGAACACCAGUGGCGAAGGCGGCUUACUGGACGAUGACUGACGUUGAGGCUCGAAAGCGUGGGGAGCAAACAGGAUUAGAUACCCUGGUAGUCCACGCCGUAAACGAUGACUACUAGGUGUCGGGGAGCAAAGCUCUUCGGUGCCGCAGCAAACGCAAUAAGUAGUCCACCUGGGGAGUACGUUCGCAAGAAUGAAACUCAAAGGAAUUGACGG
This 886-nucleotide ribosomal RNA is filed under the name uncultured bacterium. RNAcentral describes it as "bacterial SSU rRNA". It matches the Rfam family "Bacterial small subunit ribosomal RNA", at positions 30 to 916 of the family's 1533-position model. The record is from RNAcentral.